This 274-nucleotide ribosomal RNA is filed under the name uncultured bacterium. RNAcentral's name for it is "partial 16S ribosomal RNA". It matches the Rfam family "Bacterial small subunit ribosomal RNA", at positions 523 to 796 of the family's 1533-position model. The record is from RNAcentral.
AUACGGAGGGUCCGAGCGUUAUCCGGAAUCAUUGGGUUUAAAGGGUCCGUAGGCGGGAAUCUAAGUCAGUGGUGAAAUCUUGCAGCUCAACUGUAAAAUUGCCAUUGAUACUGGAUUUCUUGAAUUAGUGUGAAGUGGUUAGAAUGUGUAGUGUGGCGGUGAAAUGCAUAGAUAUUACACAGAAUACCAAUUGCGAAGGCAGAUCACUAACACUAUAUUGACGCUAAGGGACGAAAGCGUGGGGAGCGAACAGGAUUAGAAACCCCGGUAGUCC